Gymnopus androsaceus JB14 is the source of this 88-nucleotide non-coding RNA. Lineage: Eukaryota; Fungi; Basidiomycota; Agaricomycetes; Agaricales; Omphalotaceae. The record is from the annotation of a GenBank genome assembly.
GCCUGCGUGGCGCAAUGGUAGCGCGUAGCUUUCAUAGUGAUCAAGCAUUCGGUAGGCUGAAGUUGCGGAUCCGAGUCCGUCGUCGGUU